CUGGGAGAACACCAGGUGGAUAGGGCGGGAGUGGAAGCGCGGCAACGCGUGGAGCGGACCGCCACUAACCGGUCGAAGGCUUGGCCGAAA
Molecule: ribosomal RNA, 90 nt
Filed under: Eubacterium sp.
Lineage: Bacteria; Bacillati; Bacillota; Clostridia; Eubacteriales; Eubacteriaceae
Description: partial 23S ribosomal RNA
Rfam family: Bacterial large subunit ribosomal RNA
Source: RNAcentral